GAUGAACGCUGGCGGCGUGCCUAAUACAUGCAAGUCGAGCGAACAGACGAGGAGCUUGCUCCUCUGACGUUAGCGGCGGACGGGUGAGUAACACGUGGAUAACCUACCUAUAAGACUGGGAUAAAUUCGGGAAACCGGAGCUAAUACCGGAUAAUAUAUUGAACCGCAUGGUUCAAUAGUGAAAGACGGUUUUGCUGUCACUUAUAGAUGGAUCCACGCCGCAUUAGCUAGUUGGUAAGGUAACGGCUUACCAAGGCAACGAUGCGUAGCCGACCUGAGAGGGUGAUCGGCCACACUGGAACUGAGACACGGUCCAGACUCCUACGGGAGGCAGCAGUAGGGAAUCUUCCGCAAUGGGCGAAAGCCUGACGGAGCAACGCCGCGUGAGUGAUGAAGGUCUUCGGAUCGUAAAACUCUGUUAUUAGGGAAGAACAAAUGUGUAAGUAACUAUGCACGUCUUGACGGUACCUAAUCAGAAAGCCACGGCUAACUACGUG
This 497-nucleotide ribosomal RNA is filed under the name uncultured bacterium. RNAcentral's name for it is "partial 16S ribosomal RNA". It matches the Rfam family "Bacterial small subunit ribosomal RNA", at positions 28 to 507 of the family's 1533-position model. The record is from RNAcentral.